AGCCGAGCGGUAGAGAUUCUUCGGAAUCUUGAGAGCGGCGUACGGGUGCGGAACACGUGUGCAACCUACCUUUAUCAGGGGGAUAGCCUUUCGAAAGGAAGAUUAAUACCCCAUAAUAUAUUGAAUGGCAUCAUUUAAUAUUGAAAACUCCGGUGGAUAGAGAUGGGCACGCGCAAGAUUAGAUAGUUGGUAGGGUAACGGCCUACCAAGUCAAUGAUCUUUAGGGGGCCUGAGAGGGUGAUCCCCCACACUGGUACUGAGACACGGACCAGACUCCUACGGGAGGCAGCAGUGAGGAAUAUUGGACAAUGGGUGAGAGCCUGAUCCAGCCAUCCCGCGUGAAGGACGACGGCCCUAUGGGUUGUAAACUUCUUUUGUAUAGGGAUAAACCUACUCUCGUGAGAGUAGCUGAAGGUACUAUACGAAUAAGCACCGGCUAACUCCGUGCCAGCAGCCGCGGUAAUACGGAGGGUGCAAGCGUUAUCCGGAUUUAUUGGGUUAAAAGGGUCCGUAGGCGGAUCUGUAAGUCAGUGGUGAAAUCUCAUAGCUUAACUAUGAAACUGCCAUUGAUACUGCAGGUCUUGNAGUAAAGUAGAAGUGGCUGGAAUAAGUAGUGUAGCGGUGAAAUGCAUAGAUAUUACUUAGAACACCAAUUGCGAAGGCAGGUCACUAUGUUUUAACUGACGCUGAUGGACGAAAGCGUGGGGAGCGAACAGGAUUAGAUACCCUGGUAGUCCACGCCGUAAACGAUGCUAACUCGUUUUUGGGUUUUCGGAUUCAGAGACUAAGCGAAAGUGAUAAGUUAGCCACCUGGGGAGUACGUUCGCAAGAAUGAAACUCAAAGGAAUUGACGGGGGCCCGCACAAGCGGUGGAUUAUGUGGUUUAAUUCGAUGAUACGCGAGGAACCUUACCAAGGCUUAAAUGGGAAUUGACAGGUUUAGAAAUAGACUUUUCUUCGGACAAUUUUCAAGGUGCUGCAUGGUUGUCGUCAGCUCGUGCCGUGAGGUGUUAGGUUAAGUCCUGCAACGAGCGCAACCCCUGUCACUAGUUGCCAUCAUUCAGUUGGGGACUCUAGUGAGACUGCCUACGCAAGUAGAGAGGAAGGUGGGGAUGACGUCAAAUCAUCACGGCCCUUACGCCUUGGGCCACACACGUAAUACAAUGGCCAGUACAGAGGGCAGCUACCAGGCGACUGGAUGCGAAUCUCGAAAGCUGGUCUCAGUUCGGAUUGGAGUCUGCAACUCGACUCUAUGAAGCUGAAUCG
RNAcentral lists this ribosomal RNA (1265 nucleotides) under Chryseobacterium sp. RNAcentral's name for it is "bacterial SSU rRNA". It matches the Rfam family "Bacterial small subunit ribosomal RNA", at positions 60 to 1334 of the family's 1533-position model. The record is from RNAcentral. Lineage: Bacteria; Pseudomonadati; Bacteroidota; Flavobacteriia; Flavobacteriales; Weeksellaceae.